RNAcentral lists this ribosomal RNA (438 nucleotides) under Capnocytophaga sp. oral taxon B29. RNAcentral describes it as "bacterial SSU rRNA". It matches the Rfam family "Bacterial small subunit ribosomal RNA", at positions 28 to 468 of the family's 1533-position model. The record is from RNAcentral. Lineage: Bacteria; Pseudomonadati; Bacteroidota; Flavobacteriia; Flavobacteriales; Flavobacteriaceae.
GAUGAACGCUAGCGGCAGGCCUAACACAUGCAAGUCGAGGGAUAAGCCCUUCGGGGUGGAAACCGGCGCACGGGUGCGUAACGCGUAUGCAACCUACCUUUCACAGGGGGAUAGCCCGAAGAAAUUUGGAUUAAUACCCUAUAAUAUUGUUGGAUGGCAUCAUCUGAUAAUUAAAGUUACGAUGGUGAAAGAUGGGCAUGCGUCCUAUUAGCUAGUUGGAGUGGUAACGGCACCCCAAGGCUACGAUAGGUAGGGGUCCUGAGAGGGAGAUCCCCCACACUGGUACUGAGACAGGGACCAGACUCCUACGGGAGGCAGCAGUGAGGAAUAUUGGUCAAUGGUCGAAAGACUGAACCAGCCAUGCCGCGUGCAGGACAGACGGCCCUAGAGGUUGUAAACUGCUUUUAUAUGGGAAGAAUAAAGGAGCACGUGUGCUUG